This 453-nucleotide ribosomal RNA is filed under the name uncultured Porphyromonadaceae bacterium. Its description in RNAcentral is "partial 16S ribosomal RNA". It matches the Rfam family "Bacterial small subunit ribosomal RNA", at positions 341 to 792 of the family's 1533-position model. The record is from RNAcentral. Lineage: Bacteria; Pseudomonadati; Bacteroidota; Bacteroidia; Bacteroidales; Porphyromonadaceae.
ACGGAGGCAGCAGUGAGGAAUAUUGGUCAAUGGGCGGAAGCCUGAACCAGCCAUCUCGCGUGCAGGACUACGGCCCUACGGGUCUUAAACUGCUUUUAUGGGGGGAUAAAGUCGGGCAUGCGUGUCCGUUUGCAGGUACCCCAUGAAUAAGGAUCGGCUAACUCCGUGCCAGCAGCCGCGGUAAUACGGAGGAUCCGAGCGUUAUCCGGAUUUAUUGGGUUUAAAGGGUGCGCAGGCGGCCCGUUAAGUCAGCGGUGAAAUGUCGGGGCUCAACCCGGGCACUGCCGUUGAAACUGGGGGGCUUGAGUACGGAUGAGGUCGGCGGAAUGUGACGUGUAGCGGUGAAAUGCAUAGAUAUUACUCAGAACACCGAUCGCGAAGGCAUCUCACGAAUCCGACAUUGACGCUGAGGCACGAAAGCGUGGGGAUCAAACAGGAUUAGAUACCCUGGUA